This 295-nucleotide small nuclear RNA is filed under the name Nannospalax galili (Upper Galilee mountains blind mole rat). RNAcentral describes it as "7SK RNA (ENSNGAG00000005133.1)". It matches the Rfam family "7SK RNA". Rfam says of the family: 7SK was discovered as an abundant small nuclear RNA in the mid-70s but a possible function has only recently been suggested. The record is from RNAcentral. Lineage: Eukaryota; Metazoa; Chordata; Mammalia; Rodentia; Spalacidae.
GGAUGUGAGGGCCAUCUGACUACGACAUCUGUUACCCCACUGAUUGCCAAGGUUGAUUCGACUGAUCUGGCUGGCUAGGCAGGUGUCCCUUCCUCUCUCAGUGCUCCACAUCUCCACAUGCACCCUCCCAAAGCUGUGCUCAGUCAAAGAGGACGACCUUGCCUGAUAGAGGAUGACCGGUCUUCAGUCAAGGGUAUACAAGUAGCUGUGUUCCCCUGCUAGAACCUCUAAACAAGCUCUCAAAAUACAGUGUGGAUAGUACCUGAGAAAUAACACCCAAGAUUAACAUCUGGCC